GAUUGCCCAAAUGAUAAGGCGUCUCCCUCCUAAGGAGAAGACUGCAGGUUUGAAUCCCGUCGCGAUCG
RNAcentral lists this transfer RNA (68 nucleotides) under Torulaspora delbrueckii CBS 1146. It matches the Rfam family "tRNA". Rfam says of the family: Transfer RNA (tRNA) molecules are approximately 80 nucleotides in length. The record is from Rfam by way of RNAcentral. Lineage: Eukaryota; Fungi; Ascomycota; Saccharomycetes; Saccharomycetales; Saccharomycetaceae.